This 494-nucleotide ribosomal RNA is filed under the name uncultured bacterium. RNAcentral's name for it is "partial 16S ribosomal RNA". It matches the Rfam family "Bacterial small subunit ribosomal RNA", at positions 30 to 507 of the family's 1533-position model. The record is from RNAcentral.
AUUGAACGCUGGCGGCAUGCUUUACACAUGCAAGUCGAACGGCAGCGGGGAGGAGCUUGCUUCUCUGCCGGCGAGUGGCGAACGGGUGAGUAAUACAUCGGAACGUUUCGAGAAGAGGGGGAUAACCACCCGAAAGGGUGGCUAAUACCGCAUAAAUUCUGAGGAAGAAAGCUGGGGACCUAUGAAUAGGCCUAGCGCUUUUUGAGCGGCCGAUGUCGGAUUAGCUAGUUGGUGAGGUAAAGGCUCACCAAGGCGAAGAUCUGUAGCGGGUCUGAGAGGAUGAUCCGCCACACUGGGACUGAGACACGGCCCAGACUCCUACGGGAGGCAGCAGUGGGGAAUUUUGGACAAUGGGGGCAACCCUGAUCCAGCCAUGCCGCGUGUAUGAAGAAGGCCUUAGGGUUGUAAAGUACUUUUGUUAGGGAAGAAAAGUCAGCUGUGAAUAAUGGCUGAUACUGACGGUACCUAAAGAAUAAGCACCGGCUAACUACGUG